Molecule: non-coding RNA, 693 nt
Organism: Heterocephalus glaber (naked mole-rat)
Lineage: Eukaryota; Metazoa; Chordata; Mammalia; Rodentia; Bathyergidae
Source: RefSeq, a predicted model, not a curated record
GGAAACUACAAGAGCUCAAGACAACUUCUGCUUUAGACUCUGAAGGGUACCGAAGAGCUGACUCAAUGCAAAGGUCUCAGUAUCCUUGGUGGUGACAGAACACCUGCGAGAUAAUCCAACCUUUAAAAAGUAUACUUCCUGUUUGUACUCUGCUGGAGGCCAUGGAAAGUUUCCAGCUGCAAUGGUUCACUGACAGAGAAUCAGUCAGAGCAACAGCUCUUAACCUCUGAGAGGAGAUUUUGGUAGCAACAUGGUGUUGCAUCCACUGAGGGCAGUGGCAGAGUGGAAAAAGCACACUGGCAUCAGACAGUAGAGAAACCUAGUGUUGGGAGUAAGAACUUCUGCAAAGGCAUUUGCAGAAGCAUUGCUUGGUCUACACCACCUCCUUACAAUGCCCUUCUCUGUGUAUCUACUAAAUUGUCACACGAUCUUCAAGCUCGGCUUCAGAAAUUAUUCCCUAACUUCUCAAUCUCACAUUAUCUCUACUCUCCCUGGGAGAAUAUAUAAGUUGGUGUCUUGUCAACUGGAGUUUUUAGUGUGUACUAUUGUGCUGAGGCAACAGGCAAGAUGCUGGGAUACAAGGAUGAAUGAAAAAAAGUUCCAGAUUUCAAUAAACUGUGAGAUAUUUUAUAGGAAUGAGGUGAUUCUUAUACUCUGGCCUAUAAACAUAUAUUUCCCAUACAAGUUUUAGUC